CGAACGCUGGCGGCGUGCUUAACACAUGCAAGUCGAACGAUGACGAUGGUGCUUGCACCGGUCUGAUUAGUGGCGAACGGGUGAGUAACACGUGAGUAACCCUGCCCUCCUCUUCGGGAUAACCGCCGGAAACGGUGGCUAAUACCGGAUAUGAAUGCCUGCCGCAUGGUGGGUGUUGGAAAGAUUUAUCGGUGGGGGGAUGGACUCGCGGCCUAUCAGUUUGUUGGUGAGGUAAUGGCUCACCAAGGCGAUGACGGGUAGCCGGCCUGAGAGGGCGACCGGCCACACUGGGACUGAGACACGGCCCAGACUCCUACGGGAGGCAGCAGUGGGGAAUAUUGCACAAUGGGCGAAAGCCUGAUGCAGCGACGCCGCGUGGGGGAUGACGGCCUUCGGGUUGUAAACCUCUUUCAGCAGGGAAGAAGCGAGAGUGACGGUACCUGCAGAAGAAGCGCCGGCUAACUACGUGCCAGCCGCGGC
This 480-nucleotide ribosomal RNA is filed under the name uncultured bacterium. RNAcentral's name for it is "bacterial SSU rRNA". It matches the Rfam family "Bacterial small subunit ribosomal RNA", at positions 30 to 518 of the family's 1533-position model. The record is from RNAcentral.